GACAGAGGGUGCAAACGUUGUUCGGAAUUACUGGGCGUAAAGCGUGUGUAGGCGGUCCGCUAAGUCGGGUGUGAAAGCCCUGGGCUCAACCUGGGAACUGCAUCCAAAACUACUGAGCUAGAGUACGGUAGAGGGUAGUGGAAUUUCCUGUGUAGCGGUGAAAUGCGUAGAUAUCAGGAGGAACGCCGGCGGCGAAAGCGGCUCUCUGGCCUGUUACUGACGCUGAGGCGCGAAAGCUAGGGGAGCAAACGGG
Molecule: ribosomal RNA, 253 nt
Filed under: uncultured prokaryote
Description: partial 16S ribosomal RNA
Rfam family: Bacterial small subunit ribosomal RNA
Source: RNAcentral